GAACGUAGAUCUAAAACAAGAACCCAUUUCAAAGCAGCCCACCACAAAGGUAAACAACAUACCAAUCAAAAAUCAAUCAGUGCAAAGUGCACCCCAUUAGUUACAGAAACCCAUUUCUGUUUUGAUAUGUAGGCAACGAGAAAUAAGAAGUCUGCAAACAAGCCAGGCUCUAAAAGCAUCGCAGACUGUGGUUGAGGAUGUUGCCAUUCCUGAGGACUUUGGGGAUUUCUCACUAGCUAAGACAAUUAGCCUAAUUGAGGACAGAGUUAGUGAUGAUGUUAUGGAGGAACACUUGCAGGAUGACAUCAUGCCAGUUGCUGGGGAUGAGAUGGGUGCAGGUAGGUUAAAGAGGCCAACUUCAAUGCUACUGUAUCAUGAUAUUUGCAUUGUGGAUUAUACAUUAAUUUAACAUGUCACUAUUGUAAUCUUAGAGUACUAUCAAGAUAACUUUGCGGAUGCUGUCUUCUUUGACAAAUUAAACACUGAAGAGAUGGUGGAGGUUUAUACUAAAUCCUGCUCCUUUCUAUAGACUUUGUUGCUCCCCUUAAGCCAAGGAAAAGGGCACCGCCCAGCCUUGGUUAAAUUGUAACACCCGCUCUCUUAGACAAGAGUGUUGUAAGGCUGAGCAAAAGUGUAAAAGAGACUCCAAACUCCAAGUCUCAUAUGAAUGUUUAACUGCAUGCUUAAAGUGUUACCAAAAGUCAGUAAAAGAGGCCAAGUCUAAAUUUCUCUCUGCUGUUUAAGUCAAUUAACUAAAUCCCUUGGCAGCUUCUUCUCUUGUUCCAUCAUGGGAAACCUGAGAACUUUUUAAAUUUUUUUGAUAAUAAAGUCUUGGAGAUCAAGGCUUCCAUUAAGCAAUCAUCAUAUGUUCCCCCUUUGAUUUGUUCACCAACAGAUUCACUAACUUUUUUUCAUCCAGUUACCUCUGCUCAGCUAGCAGAUAUUGUUUCCAAGGCUUCCAGCUGUGAGUCAGAUGUCAUCUCAACUCGUCUUUUCAAGGAAGUGUUUGUAACCUUGAGCCCGGCUAUAACAGCCAUUAUUUAUAGUUCUCUAGCAAAUGGAGUUGUACCUGCUAGCUUUAAUUGUUCACCAUUCACUUGCAUUGAAAGGACCUGCAGAGCUAAAAUAUUCUUCUAAAAAUGUUCAUUUGUGUUCUGCAGAAGAAAGUCAUACACAUCUAGGAUGGCAUGAGAAUUUACAUUCUUGGUGAAUUAUUCCUUUAAAGCAUCACUCAUAAACAUAAUCAUUUCAUGUUUCCAGAGGCUCAAAUCAGGCUUUUGAAGACAAAAUUUGAAUGUUAGCAGUUUGAGAUGUGUUAAAGGUUGACAGGUCAUGUUACACUUGUUAUAACCCUUUUUAAUUUGUCUUAAAGGAUAAUGAAAACAGUAAUUUAAACAGCAAAGUAAAGGACAUGGAGGAGCAAUGGACAAGACUACAAAUGGCCACAAAUGGCCAGCAGAUGCUGACUGAGAAGCAAAGGGCUUUUGCUGAAGAAUCCAGUAGAAAGUGUGAGGGUGUUGUGUGGCAGCACUGCAUAAGGAGUUGGAAGGCAUGAAGAGGGCCCAUAAGCAGGCAGCCAGCACCCACAGUGCUACAGAGGUGCGGUUGAAUAGAGCUCUUGAGGAGGUUGAGAAGACCAAAGCUCAACUUAAACUCAAAGAAAUAAGGAUUCAGCAAAGGAGCAGCAAAGAACUGAACACUUACAAGCUGAGAACAGAAAACUGGAAAGACAAAAGGCUGAGCUCAUCACAGGUUUUAAGUAACUGAAGCUAAUAGAUUUUUAAAAAGACAGAAGGCAAGAAAAAAAUCAGUCUUUUAACAAUAACUCUAAAAUAUCAUUCUCAAUUACAAUAAUAUCAUACCUAAGCAAUGGCACUUUCUUUAAAGCGUUUAAUGUUUGUACUGUUAUUUUAACAGAUGCAUUUCGAAGCUGCCAAAACGUUGUCCUUUAUCAAAGAGGAGUUCAUGUAAUCUUUGGAUUGGGGGAAUAACCGUGUCUCAUAGUUUUUUAGAUUGUACAGCUUGUACAAAACUUUAAAAGUACAAAACUUUGUACAGACGAAGUGUUAAGUGCUCACUGAGUUGUUGAUCUACGGUUGAACUGGAUGAAU
RNA transcript from Xyrauchen texanus (razorback sucker), 2111 nucleotides. It is a transcript of the gene named testis-expressed protein 9-like, with no coding region annotated. The transcript has 4 exons. The record is from RefSeq and is a predicted model, not a curated record. Lineage: Eukaryota; Metazoa; Chordata; Actinopteri; Cypriniformes; Catostomidae.